RNAcentral lists this ribosomal RNA (732 nucleotides) under uncultured bacterium. RNAcentral describes it as "bacterial SSU rRNA". It matches the Rfam family "Bacterial small subunit ribosomal RNA", at positions 62 to 774 of the family's 1533-position model. The record is from RNAcentral.
UCGAGCGGCAGCGACACAUUGAACCUUCGGGGGAUUUGUUGGGCGGCGAGCGGCGGACGGGUGAGUAAUGCCUGGGAAAUUGCCCUGAUGUGGGGGAUAACCAUUGGAAACGAUGGCUAAUACCGCAUGAUAGCUUCGGCUCAAAGAGGGGGACCUUCGGGCCUCUCGCGUCAGGAUAUGCCCAGGUGGGAUUAGCUAGUUGGUGAGGUAAGGGCUCACCAAGGCGACGAUCCCUAGCUGGUCUGAGAGGAUGAUCAGCCACACUGGAACUGAGACACAGUCCAGACUCCUACGGGAGGCAGCAGUGGGGAAUAUUGCACAAUGGGCGCAAGCCUGAUGCAGCCAUGCCGCGUGUAUGAAGAAGGCCUUCGGGUUGUAAAGUACUUUCAGCAGUGAGGAAGGAGGUAUCGUUAAUAGCGGUAUCUUUUGACGUUAGCUGCAGAAGAAGCACCGGCUAACUCCGUGCCAGCAGCCGCGGUAAUACGGAGGGUGCGAGCGUUAAUCGGAAUUACUGGGCGUAAAGCGCAUGCAGGUGGUUUGUUAAGUCAGAUGUGAAAGCCCGGGGCUCAACCUCGGAAUUGCAUUUGAAACUGGCAGGCUAGAGUACUGUAGAGGGGGGUAGAAUUUCAGGUGUAGCGGUGAAAUGCGUAGAGAUCUGAAGGAAUACCGGUGGCGAAGGCGGCCCCCUGGACAGAUACUGACACUCAGAUGCGAAAGCGUGGGGAGCAAACA